Molecule: long non-coding RNA, 835 nt
Organism: Eriocheir sinensis (Chinese mitten crab)
Lineage: Eukaryota; Metazoa; Arthropoda; Malacostraca; Decapoda; Varunidae
Exons: 3
Source: RefSeq, a predicted model, not a curated record
CUGGGAGGUCAUGGCAGAAAAUUAAUGUAGAAAAUGAGGAACAGAGAGAAAGAAAGGAAAAUAUGGAGCUACUUGAAAAUAUUGAGGUUAUUGUGUCAGUACAGGAAUUAGCCUUUGUGUGAUAAGAAGGAGGACAAACUUUGUAAUGCCUGGGAGGUCAUGGCAGAAAAUUAAUGUAGAAAAUGAGAAACAGAGAGAGAGAAAGGAAAAUAUGGAACUACUAGAAAAUAUUGAGGUUAUUGUGUCAGUACAGGAAUUAGCCUUUGUGUGAUAAGAAGGAGGACAAACUUUGUAAUGCCUGGGAGGUCAUGGCAGAAAAUUAAUGUAGAAAAUGAGAAACAGAGAGAAAGAAAGGAAAAUAUGGAGCUACUUGAAAAUAUUGAGGUUAUUGUGUCAGUACAGGAAUUAGCCUUUGUGUGAUAAGAAGGAGGACUUAAAGUUUCGUGACAGCAGAUGAAAUAUAUAUAAUGAUUAGGAGAAACAUAGAAAAUAAUAUAUAUACUACUACUGCUAUUAUCAAGGAAGGAGGAUAUUUCGCUUAUUAUUUUGAUGUGUAGGCUUUCGUAUGAUAAAGAGAACGCGUUAAACUUUCUAAUACAAGGAAAUUCGAGACAGUAAAUGGAAUAGAUAUGAUGAUAAGGCUGCUGCUACUACUACUACUACUACUAUUACUACUGCUAUCAAGAAAGCACUUUAUAUAGGUCAUUCUUUGUACAGAGAUUCAAAUAGACAGUUAAUUGAUAGAUAUGAGAUAGACUGCCAGAAAAAAAUAGAUAGAAGAUAGACAAAGCAGAUCGAUAAUGAUAAGUAAAUGUAUAGCUAUUGACCACGUGAU